This 253-nucleotide ribosomal RNA is filed under the name uncultured bacterium. RNAcentral's name for it is "partial 16S ribosomal RNA". It matches the Rfam family "Bacterial small subunit ribosomal RNA", at positions 524 to 776 of the family's 1533-position model. The record is from RNAcentral.
UACAGAGGUCCCAAGCGUUGUUCGGAUUUAUUGGGCGUAAAGGGUGCGUAGGUGGCGCCGUAAGUCAGAUGUGAAAUAUCCGGGCUUAACCCGGAGGGGUCAUUUGAAACUGAGUAACUAGAGUACAGCAGAGGAUAGCGGAAUUCCCGGUGUAGUGGUGAAAUGCGUAGAUAUCGGGAGGAACACCAGUGGCGAAGGCGGCUAUCUGGGCUGAAACUGACGCUGAGGCGCGAAGGCUAGGGGAGCAAACAGG